This 325-nucleotide ribosomal RNA is filed under the name uncultured eukaryote. RNAcentral's name for it is "partial 18S ribosomal RNA". It matches the Rfam family "Eukaryotic small subunit ribosomal RNA", at positions 1470 to 1796 of the family's 1831-position model. The record is from RNAcentral.
CCCUUAGAUGUCCUGGGCCGCACGCGCGCUACACUGAUGCAUUCAACGAGCUUUACCUUGGCCGAGAGGCCUGGGCAAUCUUUUAAACCUGCAUCGUGAUAGGGAUAGAUUAUUGCAAUUAUUAAUCUUGAACGAGGAAUUCCUAGUAAACGCAGAUCAUCAAUCUGCAUUGAUUACGUCCCUGCCCUUUGUACACACCGCCCGUCGCGCCUACCGAUUGAAUGGUCCGGUGAAGUCUCGGGAUUGUGGCCAGUUCACUUUAUUGGGAGUUGGCUGCGAGAACUUGUCUAAACCUUAUCAUUUAGAGGAAGGUGAAGUCGUAACA